AGAGUUUGAUCCUGGCUCAGGAUGAACGCUGGCGGCGCGCCUAACACAUGCAAGUCGAACGGCACCCCUCUCCGGAGGGAAGCGAGUGGCGAACGGCUGAGUAACACGUGGAGAACCUGCCCCCUCCCCCGGGAUAGCCGCCCGAAAGGACGGGUAAUACCGGAUACCCCGGGGUGCCGCAUGGCACCCCGGCUAAAGCCCUGACGGGAGGGGAUGGCUCCGCGGCCCAUCAGGUAGACGGCGGGGUGACGGCCCACCGUGCCGACAACGGGUAGCCGGGUUGAGAGACCGACCGGCCAGAUUGGGACUGAGACACGGCCCAGACUCCUACGGGAGGCAGCAGUGGGGAAUCUUGCGCAAUGGGGGGAACCCUGACGCAGCGACGCCGCGUGCGGGACGGAGGCCUUCGGGUCGUAAACCGCUUUCAGCAGGGAAGAGUCAAGACUGUACCUGCAGAAGAAGCCCCGGCUAACUACGUGCCAGCAGCCGCGGUAAUACGUAGGGGGCGAGCGUUAUCCGGAUUCAUUGGGCGUAAAGCGCGCGUAGGCGGCCCGGCAGGCCGGGGGUCGAAGCGGGGGGCUCAACCCCCCGAAGCCCCCGGAACCUCCGCGGCUUGGGUCCGGUAGGGGAGGGUGGAACACCCGGUGUAGCGGUGGAAUGCGCAGAUAUCGGGUGGAACACCGGUGGCGAAGGCGGCCCUCUGGGCCGAGACCGACGCUGAGGCGCGAAAGCUGGGGGAGCGAACAGGAUUAGAUACCCUGGUAGUCCCAGCCGUAAACGAUGGACGCUAGGUGUGGGGGGGACGAUCCCCCCGUGCCGCAGCCAACGCAUUAAGCGUCCCGCCUGGGGAGUACGGCCGCAAGGCUAAAACUCAAAGGAAUUGACGGGGGCCCGCACAAGCAGCGGAGCAUGUGGCUUAAUUCGAAGCAACGCGAAGAACCUUACCAGGGCUUGACAUAUGGGUGAAGCGGGGGAGACCCCGUGGCCGAGAGGAGCCCAUACAGGUGGUGCAUGGCUGUCGUCAGCUCGUGUCGUGAGAUGUUGGGUUAAGUCCCGCAACGAGCGCAACCCCCGCCGCGUGUUGCCAUCGGGUGAUGCCGGGAACCCACGCGGGACCGCCGCCGUCAAGGCGGAGGAGGGCGGGGACGACGUCAAGUCAUCAUGCCCCUUAUGCCCUGGGCUGCACACGUGCUACAAUGGCCGGUACAGAGGGAUGCCACCCCGCGAGGGGGAGCGGAUCCCGGAAAGCCGGCCCCAGUUCGGAUUGGGGGCUGCAACCCGCCCCCAUGAAGUCGGAGUUGCUAGUAAUCGCGGAUCAGCAUGCCGCGGUGAAUGCGUUCCCGGGCCUUGUACUCACCGCCCGUCA
This 1366-nucleotide ribosomal RNA is filed under the name uncultured bacterium. RNAcentral's name for it is "bacterial SSU rRNA". It matches the Rfam family "Bacterial small subunit ribosomal RNA". The record is from RNAcentral.